This 433-nucleotide ribosomal RNA is filed under the name uncultured bacterium. Its description in RNAcentral is "partial 16S ribosomal RNA". It matches the Rfam family "Bacterial small subunit ribosomal RNA", at positions 29 to 507 of the family's 1533-position model. The record is from RNAcentral.
AGCGAACGCUGGCGGCAGGCCUAACACAUGCAAGUCGAACGAACUCUUCGGAGUUAGUGGCGGACGGGUGAGUAACACGUGGGAACGUGCCUUUUGGUUCGGAAUAACUCAGGGAAACUUGUGCUAAUACCGAAUGUGCCCUUCGGGGGAAAGAUUUAUCGCCAUUAGAGCGGCCCGCGUCUGAUUAGCUAGUUGGUGAGGUAACGGCUCACCAAGGCGACGAUCAGUAGCUGGUCUGAGAGGAUGACCAGCCACACUGGGACUGAGACACGGCCCAGACUCCUACGGGAAGCAGCAGUGGGGAAUCUUGCGCAAUGGGCGGAAGCCUGACGCAGCCAUGCCGCGUGAAUGAUGAAGGUCUUAGGAUUGUAAAAUUCUUUCACCGGGGACGAUAAUGACGGUACCCGGAGAAGAAGCCCCGGCUAACUUCGUG